CGGGUCGCUGCAGCAGCAAGGAAUAUUGGACAAUGGGCGAAAGCCUGAUCCAGCGACACCGCGUGGGGGAAGAAUGCCUUCGGGUUGUAAACCCCUUUUAUCAGGGAAGAAUAAUGACGGUACCUGGUGAAUAAGCCUCGGCUAAAUACGUGCCAGCAGCCGCGGUAAUACGUAUGAGGCGAGCGUUAUCCGGAUUUACUGGGCGUAAAGCGGGCGUAGGCGGCUCGUCAAGUCAGAUGUGAAAUCUCCCGGCUUAACUGGGAGGGUGCAUUUGAUACUGAUGAGCUGGAGUGCAGCAGAGGAAAGCGGAAUUCCCGGUGUAGUGGUGAUAUGCGUAGAUAUCGGGAGGAACACUAGUGGCGAAGGCGGCUUUCUGGGCUGUAACUGACGCUGAGGUCCGAAGGCGUGGGUAGCAAACAGGAUUAGAUACCCGGGUAGUC
RNAcentral lists this ribosomal RNA (440 nucleotides) under uncultured bacterium. Its description in RNAcentral is "partial 16S ribosomal RNA". It matches the Rfam family "Bacterial small subunit ribosomal RNA", at positions 342 to 795 of the family's 1533-position model. The record is from RNAcentral.